RNAcentral lists this unclassified non-coding RNA (716 nucleotides) under Hevea brasiliensis (rubber tree). The record is from RNAcentral. Lineage: Eukaryota; Viridiplantae; Streptophyta; Magnoliopsida; Malpighiales; Euphorbiaceae.
AAGGAAAAAGAGGAUCAAGUUUCAAGGUUAAAUGAAGAAAAUAGUUCAUUGAAGCAAAGCCGACAAUCAAGUUCCUCUCCAAGUGCAUCUAGAAGCACACAUAAGGGGAGCAGUGAUCAAUCUCCAAACCGUCAAAGCAAAGUUUUAGCUAAUCGUUCCUUUGGAAGCCGAACAAACAAUGGGUUUUCUCCGAAACAGGAUGGGCUAAGCAAUGGAACCACUUUUGGCAAUGAAAAGGAGCUUGCAGAUUUGUUGGAAGAGAAAAAUAAAUCUCUGUCAGCCAUGCAGGCAUCUCAUGAGCUGCAAAUAAAACAAUUAGAAAUGAAGCUUGAUAAAGAACAUGCAGAGCUGGCAAAUAUGCAAAUUAGGUUACAAGAGGAGCAGAAUUUGAGCUCGACAUGCCAACAUGAGCUGAACUCUUUAAAAGCAGACAAGGAUAAAAUGACUGCGGAGAUGGCAAAAAUUCGUACUGAGCUGUCUCAUAAAGUAUCUGAAUUAAAGCAGUUGCAAAUGGAGCUUCAUGAAAGAGAUAACAAAGAAUCAAAUGAAGCAAGAGACGGUCUGAGAAGAGUGAUAGAAACACUGCAAAAAGAAAACAGUAAUCUUAAGAACGAGAAAGAUAAGUUAGAAGCUUCAUUGAAAGCAAAUGGAGUUACUUCAGCCGAUAGAAGUAACAUCAAUAGUAUAAAUGAGAAGGUGCAUCCUGUGGAGGUAUU